UACUCUAAGAUUAACCCAUGCAUGUUUAUUGAAUAUAAAGAAAAGACGAACAGCUCAGUAACUCUUAUUUGAUUUGAUGUAUUAGGAUUCUAACUAUGUUAAAUUAUAGGUAACAAUAAUACAAUAAGAAUAAGAUCUAUCAGUUAGUUGUUAAGGUAAUGGCUUAACAAGACUAUGACGGAUAACGGUAUUACUUUGUAAUAUUCCGGAGAAGGAGCCUGAGAGAUUGCUACUAAGUCUAAGGAUUGCAGCAGGGGCGAAACUUGACCUAUGAUAUUAUAUUGAGGCAGUUAUGAGUAGUAUUUUAUAAUUAUUGUAGUAUUGUAAGUACAUAUUACAAGAUAAAUCGGAGGGCAAAUCGAGUGCCAGCAGCCGCGGUAAUACUUGUUCCGAUAGUGUGUAUGAUGAUUGAUGCAGUUAAAAAGUCUGUAGUUUAUUUUAUAAUAAGCAUUGUAAGGUAUACUGUAUGGUUAGGAGAGAGAUGAAAUGUGAUAACCCUAACUGGAUGAACAGAAGCGAAAGCUGUAUACUUAAAUGUAUUAUUAGAACAAGGACGUAAGCUAGAGGAUCGAAGAUGAUUAGAUACCAUUGUAGUUCUAGCAGUAAACUAUGUUGAAUCAUAGAUAUAUUUUGAUAUAUAUUUAUGUAGAGAAAUUAAGAUUAUAUUGACUCUUGGGAUAGUAUGAUCGCAAGAUUGAAAAUUAAAGAAAUUGACGGAAGAAUACCACAAGGAGUGGAUUGUGCGGCUUAAUUUGACUCAACGCGGGGUAAUUUACCAGGUAUAACAUGAUAUAAUAUUUUAUCAUGAUAGUGGUGCAUGGCCGUUUCCAAUGGAUGCUGUGAAGUAAUGAUUAAUUUCAACAAGAUGUGAGACCCUCAUUUAGACAGAUGUAGUGAUACAUAUGAAGGAGAGGAUUAAAACAGGUCCGUUAUGCCCUAAGAUAAUCUGGGUUGCACGCGCAAUACAAAAAUAUUUGAUAUUAUAAGGGAUAAUAUAAUGUAAGAUAUAUUUGAACAUGGAAUUGCUAGUAAAUUCUAUUAAAUAAGUAGAAUUGAAUGAGUCCCUGUUCUUUGUACACACCGCCCGUCGCUAUCUAAGAUGGUAUUAUCUAUGAACAAAUUUAUAACGUGAAUAGAUAGUACUAGAUCUGAUAUAAGUCGUAACAUGGUUGCUGUUGGAGAACCAUUAGCAGGAUCAUAAAUAAAAAAGAUGGGAUUAUUAUAAUGAAAGUGUAUGCUGACAUUAUAAUAAUCUUGUCUAUGUUCUAAAUACAAAAUACCUUCACGAGGUUCAGAAUGGGUGAUAUAAGGAGGUUAUAUUGGCUAAAUUUAUGUAUGUGAGAAAAUGAUGUUGUGAUGUUAAAAGGCGUGUGUAGUUAUGUGUAGAGAAUUUUAUUCAAGUAUAAUGUAUGUGGUUUCUGCUUUGCUUUAUACUUUUUAUGUUCAGGUAGCAUACA
Molecule: ribosomal RNA, 1457 nt
Filed under: Microsporidium sp. ZYS-1
Lineage: Eukaryota; Fungi; Microsporidia
Description: bacterial SSU rRNA
Rfam family: Microsporidia small subunit ribosomal RNA (bases 1-1201)
Source: RNAcentral